ACAAUCAAAUAACAUAUUGUUCGCCAAAUAACUACGAGUGAAAACUUAAAAUUUAAAAGACUUGACGGUACUUCACAACAACCUAGAGGAGCCUGUCCAAUAACCGAUACCCCACGAUUAACCCAACCCCGGCUAGCCUAACAGUCUAUAUACCGCCGUCGCCAGCUUACCUUAUGAAAGAAACAAAGUGAACCAAAUAGCCACACACUAACACGACAGGUCGAGGUGUAACUAAUGCCGAGGUAAAGAUGGGCUACAUUUUCUAACGCAGAAUAUACGAAUAAAGUGUGAAACCACAAACUGAAGGUGGAUUUAGCAGUAAGAUAGGAACAAAAUACCUAACCGAAACAAACGCAAUGAAGUGCGUACACACCGCCCGUCAUCCC
Molecule: ribosomal RNA, 386 nt
Filed under: Chrysopelea ornata
Lineage: Eukaryota; Metazoa; Chordata; Lepidosauria; Squamata; Colubridae
Description: partial 12S ribosomal RNA
Source: RNAcentral